Molecule: long non-coding RNA, 615 nt
Organism: Chenopodium quinoa (quinoa)
Lineage: Eukaryota; Viridiplantae; Streptophyta; Magnoliopsida; Caryophyllales; Amaranthaceae
Exons: 3
Source: RefSeq, a predicted model, not a curated record
CCAUUGGGAUAUUUAGAAUUACCCUAAUUAUUCAAAGGCUGCUUAAUAUAAUUGAAAUGCUUUUAUACUGCACUAUCACUAUUCACUAGAGUACUAAUUGCUUACUGCUUCAGAAAAACGAUGAAAAGUGAAACCUCAUGUUGCUCAAUUCACCAAUUACUGCUUCGCCGCCCUACCGCACCACCGUCACCCCAUCUCCCCCCCGUCGUUCCACCGCCACACUGUUGAACAUCACUUCACUGUACCGCACCACUACACCACCACUGCACUUUCCAAUUUUCAAGCACUUUUACUAAGUCACCCAAAGAAAGACAUGGUGACAUUGCAGAAUACCAGCAAUUUAUAAAUAUAUUGACAAAGCUAAUGAUCGACAAGCUUAGGGGAAGAUGGAUUUCAUAUGUUACCGGAUGCCAUCAACCAAUGCAAAUGACGACAUUGAUGAUUUAUCUGGAUUGAAGAUCUAUGAUAUUGGUAUAUCUAAGCUAGAUUUUACUUUUUAAUUUAUUUUUAUCAACAUCAAUAGGAAAGGUGUUUUGAUAAAUAUAUAUAUAUCUUGUAUUUGUAUAGAACAAAUUUUCGAAUGAAUGAUUAAAUUUAAUUGUUGGAUGUCUUAAA